RNAcentral lists this ribosomal RNA (492 nucleotides) under uncultured bacterium. Its description in RNAcentral is "partial 16S ribosomal RNA". It matches the Rfam family "Bacterial small subunit ribosomal RNA", at positions 29 to 507 of the family's 1533-position model. The record is from RNAcentral.
AGUGAACGCUGGCGGUAGGCCUAACACAUGCAAGUCGAACGGCAGCACAGUAAGAGCUUGCUCUUACGGGUGGCGAGUGGCGGACGGGUGAGGAAUACAUCGGAAUCUACUUUUUCGUGGGGGAUAACGUAGGGAAACUUACGCUAAUACCGCAUACGACCUACGGGUGAAAGCAUGGGAUCUUCGGACCUUGCGCGAUUGAAUGAGCCGAUGUCGGAUUAGCUAGUUGGCGGGGUAAAGGCCCACCAAGGCGACGAUCCGUAGCUGGUCUGAGAGGAUGAUCAGCCAAACUGGAACUGAGACACGGUCCAGACUCCUACGGGAGGCAGCAGUGGGGAAUAUUGGACAAUGGGCGCAAGCCUGAUCCAGCCAUACCGCGUGGGUGAAGAAGGCCUUCGGGUUGUAAAGCCCUUUUGUUGGGAAAGAAAAGCAGCAGGUUAAUACCCCGCUGUUCUGACGGUACCCAAAGAAUAAGCACCGGCUAACUUCGUG